UAAGCAUAUCAAUAAGCGGAGGAAAAGAAACCAACAGGGAUUGCCCUAGUAACGGCGAGUGAAGCGGCAACAGCUCAAAUUUGAAAUCUGGCGUCUUUGGCGUCCGAGUUGUAAUUUGCAGAGGGCGCUUUGGCAUUGGCAGCGGUCCAAGUUCCUUGGAACAGGACGUCACAGAGGGUGAGAAUCCCGUACGUGGUCGCUAGCCUUUACCGUGUAAAGCCCCUUCGACGAGUCGAGUUGUUUGGGAAUGCAGCUCUAAAUGGGAGGUAAAUUUCUUCUAAAGCUAAAUACUGGCCAGAGACCGAUAGCGCACAAGUAGAGUGAUCGAAAGAUGAAAAGCACUUUGGAAAGAGAGUUAAAAAGCACGUGAAAUUGUUGAAAGGGAAGCGCUUGCAGCCAGACUUGCCUGUAGUUGCUCAUCCGAGUUUUUACCCGGUGCACUCUUCUAUAGGCAGGCCAGCAUCAGUUUGGGCGGUUGGAUAAAGGUCUCUGUCACGUACCUCCUCUCGGGGAGAUCUUAUAGGGGAGACGAAAUGCAACCAGCCUGGACUGAGGUCCGCGCAUCUGCUAGGAUGCUGGCGUAAUGGCUGUAAGCGGCCCGUCUUGAAACACGGACCAAGGAGUCUAACAUCUAUGCGAGUGUUUGGGUGUCAAGCCCGAGCGCGUAAUGAAAGUGAACGGAGGUGGGAACCUUUCGGGGUGCACCAUCGACCGAUCCUGAUGUCUUCGGAUGGAUUUGAGUAAGAGCAUAGCUGUUGGGACCCGAAAGAUGGUGAACUAUGCUUGAAUAGGGUGAAGCCAGAGGAAACUCUGGUGGAGGCUCGCAGCGGUUCUGACGUGCAAAUCGAUCGUCAAAUUUGGGCAUAGGGGCGAAAGACUAAUCGAACUAUCUAGUAGCUGGUUCCUGCCGA
Molecule: ribosomal RNA, 911 nt
Filed under: Boeremia lycopersici
Lineage: Eukaryota; Fungi; Ascomycota; Dothideomycetes; Pleosporales; Didymellaceae
Description: LSU rRNA
Rfam family: Eukaryotic large subunit ribosomal RNA
Source: RNAcentral